UGGCUCAGGACGAACGCUGGCGGCGUGCCUAACACAUGCAAGUCGAGCGGAGUCGGUAAGAGGAAGUUUCGGAUGGAAUCUUAUUGAUUUAGCGGCGGACGGGUGAGUAACGCGUGAGCGACCAACCUUGCACAGGGGGAUAACGGACCGAAAGGUUCACUAAUACCGCAUGAGACCACGGUGUUGCAUGACACAGAGGUCAAAGGAGCAAUCCGGUGCAAGACGGGCUCGCGUCCGAUUAGGUAGUUGGAGGGGUAACGGCCCACCAAGCCUAUGAUCGGUAGCCGACCUGAGAGGGUGAUCGGCCACAUUGGAACUGAGAUACGGUCCAAACUCCUACGGGAGGCAGCAGUGGGGAAUAUUGGGCAAUGGGGGGAAAAACCCCCUGACCCAGCAACGCCGCGUGAAGGAAGAAGGUUUUCGGAUUGUAAACUUCUGUCCUUGGUGAAGAGAAGAAGACGGUAGCCAAGGAGGAAGCCCCGGCUAACUACGUGCCAGCAGCGGC
RNAcentral lists this ribosomal RNA (505 nucleotides) under uncultured bacterium. RNAcentral describes it as "bacterial SSU rRNA". It matches the Rfam family "Bacterial small subunit ribosomal RNA", at positions 20 to 518 of the family's 1533-position model. The record is from RNAcentral.